This 305-nucleotide ribosomal RNA is filed under the name uncultured bacterium. RNAcentral's name for it is "bacterial SSU rRNA". It matches the Rfam family "Bacterial small subunit ribosomal RNA", at positions 337 to 639 of the family's 1533-position model. The record is from RNAcentral.
CCCUACGGGGGGCAGCAGUGAGGAAUAUUGGUCAAUGGCCGGAAGGCUGAACCAGCCAAGUCGCGUGAGGGAAUAAGGCCCUAUGGGUCGUAAACCUCUUUUGUCAGGGAGCAAAGGCGUCCACGUGUGGACGAGAGGAGAGUACCUGAAGAAAAAGCAUCGGCUAACUCCGUGCCAGCAGCCGCGGUAAUACGGAGGAUGCGAGCGUUAUCCGGAUUUAUUGGGUUUAAAGGGUGCGUAGGCGGAGUGUCAAGUCAGCGGUAAAAUUUCGGGGCUCAACCCCGCCGUGCCGUUGAAACUGACGC